UACAGAGCCUGCAAGCGUUAUUCGGAUUCACUGGGCGUAAAGGGUGCGCAGGCGGCCGUGUGUGUGAGGUGUGAAAGCCCGGGGCUUAACCCCGGAACUGCAUUCGAUACUGCUGCGCUAGAGUACUGGAGAGGAGAUUGGAAUUUACGGUGUAGCAGUGAAAUGCGUAGAUAUCGUAAGGAAGACCAGUGGCGAAGGCGGAUCUCUGGACAGUUACUGACACUGAGGCACGAAGGCCAGGGGAGCAAACGGG
Molecule: ribosomal RNA, 253 nt
Filed under: uncultured bacterium
Lineage: Bacteria
Description: partial 16S ribosomal RNA
Rfam family: Bacterial small subunit ribosomal RNA
Source: RNAcentral